Molecule: long non-coding RNA, 802 nt
Organism: Mauremys mutica (yellowpond turtle)
Lineage: Eukaryota; Metazoa; Chordata; Testudines; Geoemydidae
Exons: 4
Source: RefSeq, a predicted model, not a curated record
AACAAGCAGCAACCCUACCCGGCAACAAGCUACCCUGAUGCCUCGAAGCCAAUUAGAAGUGACCCCUUCCAGCUCCAUACCACUAUAAUGUAACCAGGAAGUGAUUUCAAGUGAACUUUAUGUAAAUAGAGCAUCGUAAGGGCAAAACAAGCAUUUUAGGGACGAAACGGGCAGUCAAUUGAAAAGCGUCUUAAGUGGUGUCCAACGAAAGUCGGGCAACAAUCCUUCAAUGCCUUUCCAUACAAUGCCCUCCUUGCAAAGGCAGUGUUGUCAAGAUAACUGGUUGGAGUGCUGCAGAUAAAGGACCCCGCGUUCUGCUCGGGAAUCAUUUUGAUAAAAAAGAAGAAAAGGAGGAUUAACAACAUGGCUGGAGGAAGAGGAGUAAUAUUAAACACAGAAGGCACAAUAGACACGUCAUUGCAGCAAAGUAGUUAAAAACACUUUCAAUGCUCUUACAAUCAGAUGGUAAAUGUGAAAUGAAUGAACUUCCAGCCAUCAAGUUGACUUGCAUUAUUGUGUGAGGAACAUUGAGGGACCACAGGUAUCUGUAAGACAUUUAUCAGAAAAGAAUUCUUCCAUGAAUUACAUUGCACUGCUACAGGGGUCUAUCCAAUGAAGCAUGGGCUGUUAAUGACUGGCCCUAGGUUAAGCGGUGUUGAGUAAAGAGUACCCUCUGGAUUCCCCAGCUGUGCAGGUUGAACCAUGUCCCAGCCACCUACAUACACCUCCAUGCUGAAAACAGAACAUGAAACUUCAGUGAGUUUUCUGGAUCCUUUGUUUCCCCUCUCUGGGAUGUUAUGAA